UCGUUCCGUGUGACCCGGAACGGUCGUUCCGUGUGACCCGGAACGGUCGUUCCGUAUGACCCGGAACGGUCGUUCCGUAUGACCCGGAACGGUC
RNAcentral lists this transfer RNA (94 nucleotides) under Bacteroidales bacterium Barb6XT. RNAcentral describes it as "tRNA-Ser". Lineage: Bacteria; Pseudomonadati; Bacteroidota; Bacteroidia; Bacteroidales. The record is from RNAcentral.